ACACGACUACAUUAGAUACCCCUGUAGUCCUAGCCGUAAACGAUACUCGCUAGGUGUCGGCCACGGUGCGACCGUUGUCGGUGCCGUAGGGAAGCCGUGAAGCGAGCCACCUGGGAAGUACGGCCGCAAGGCUGAAACUUAAAGGAAUUGGCGGGGGAGCACAACAACGGGUGGAGCUUGCGGUUUAAUUGGAUUCAACGCCGGAAGUCUUACCGGGACCGACAGCAACAUGAAGGCCAAGCUGAAGACUUUGCCGGAUUAGCUG
RNAcentral lists this ribosomal RNA (265 nucleotides) under uncultured archaeon. Its description in RNAcentral is "partial 16S ribosomal RNA". It matches the Rfam family "Archaeal small subunit ribosomal RNA", at positions 717 to 982 of the family's 1478-position model. The record is from RNAcentral.